UUAAAUAAUCGUAAAUCGUAA
RNAcentral lists this non-coding RNA (21 nucleotides) under Caenorhabditis elegans. The record is from RNAcentral. Lineage: Eukaryota; Metazoa; Nematoda; Chromadorea; Rhabditida; Rhabditidae.